GACGAACCGUGCGAACGUUGUUCGGAAUCACUGGGCUUAAAGGGCGCGUAGGCGGGCGGCCGAGUCCGGGGUGAAAUCCUGCAGCUCAACUGCAGAAGUGCCCCGGAUACUGGCCGCCUCGAGGGAGGUAGGGGCAUGUGGAACUUCCGGUGGAGCGGUGAAAUGCGUAGAUAUCGGAAGGAACGCCGGUGGCGAAAGCGACGUGCUGGACCUCUACUGACGCUGAGGCGCGAAAGCCAGGGGAGCGAACGGG
This 253-nucleotide ribosomal RNA is filed under the name uncultured bacterium. Its description in RNAcentral is "partial 16S ribosomal RNA". It matches the Rfam family "Bacterial small subunit ribosomal RNA", at positions 524 to 776 of the family's 1533-position model. The record is from RNAcentral.